CUCCUACGGGACGCAGCAGUGAGGAAUAUUGGUCAAUGGGCGAGAGCCUGAACCAGCCAAGUCGCGUGAGGGGGUACUGCCCUAUGGGUUGUAAACUUCUUUUGUCAGGGAGCAAUUGAGUCCACGUGUGGGCUUAGCGAGAGUACCUGAAGAAAAAGCAUCGGCUAACUCCGUGCCAGCAGCCGCGGUAAUACGGAGGAUGCGAGCGUUAUCCGGAUUUAUUGGGUUUAAAGGGUGCGUAGGCGGAAUAUCAAGUCAGCGGUAAAAAUUCGGGGCUCAACCCCGUCGUGCCGUUGAAACUGAUG
Molecule: ribosomal RNA, 305 nt
Filed under: uncultured bacterium
Lineage: Bacteria
Description: bacterial SSU rRNA
Rfam family: Bacterial small subunit ribosomal RNA
Source: RNAcentral